Molecule: ribosomal RNA, 755 nt
Filed under: Syedra oii
Lineage: Eukaryota; Metazoa; Arthropoda; Arachnida; Araneae; Linyphiidae
Description: eukaryotic LSU rRNA
Rfam family: Eukaryotic large subunit ribosomal RNA
Source: RNAcentral
GAAGAGAGAGUUCAAGAGUACGUGAAACUGUUCAGAGGUAAACAGGUGGGCCCUCGAAGUCCUGUGGCGGGAUCAUUCAGUUGGAGCGUCUGCGGCGCUCGCCGGAAAAGACUAAGGUUCCCGGACGGGGCCGUUCUGGCGUGUGAUCCGUGGCGAUCCGACGCAUUUGUUUCCUGCCCGAAGGACGCCGCAACCGGUUGGGAGACGGCCUUAAGGGCGAGAGCCGGCAGGUGGCCGGCGGCGUACGCUUGUGAACGCCGCCGGUUGUUAGCCAUUUCGUCUCACGGCACGUUUUCCGACCGGGGCAAUAGAGAGGCCUUGUUGGGCUUCACCGUCUCCUCCCUUAAUGUGCUGCGGGAUGAGAGGCGCGGCAGGAGCUCGAGCUGGCGUGGGCGCACGGACUGACUCCGUGGCCGUUCGCCGCCUUGCUCUGUUGGUUGCGCAAGCCCCGUGGGAGUGAUUGAUGGUUGGCGGCGAGUAGAUCGGUCACCCACCUGACCCGUCUUGAAACACGGACCAAGGAGUAUAACAUGUGUGCGAGUCAAUGGGUCUUGAAUAAGCCCAGAGGCGCAAUGAAAGCGAAGGCCGGAGGACUCCGGCCGUGUCGGGACCCCGUUCCUCUGCGUUCGGGGCGCACCGACGACCCGCCCCAAUCCGCUCGCGGAUGAGGCGGAGUCUGAGCACACACGUUGUUGCCCGAAAGAUGGUGAUCUAUGCCCGGACAGGACGAGGCCAGAGGAAACUCUGGUGGAGGU